Molecule: ribosomal RNA, 371 nt
Filed under: Emmonsiellopsis sp.
Lineage: Eukaryota; Fungi; Ascomycota; Eurotiomycetes; Onygenales; Ajellomycetaceae
Description: partial large subunit ribosomal RNA
Rfam family: Eukaryotic large subunit ribosomal RNA
Source: RNAcentral
AGAGGGUGAGAAUCCCGUCUUUGACCGGCCGGCCACGCCCGUGUGAAGCUCCUUCGACGAGUCGAGUUGUUUGGGAAUGCAGCUCUAAAUGGGUGGUAAAUUUCAUCUAAAGCUAAAUACUGGUCGGAGACCGAUAGCGCACAAGUAGAGUGAUCGAAAGAUGAAAAGCACUUUGAAAAGAGAGUUAAACAGCAUGUGAAAUUGUUGAAAGGGAAGCGCUUGCGACCAGAGUCGUGUGCGGGGGCUCAGCGGGCAUUCUUUGCCCGUGCACUCCCCCGCGGUCGGGCCAGCGUCGGUUUUGACGGCCGGUCAAAGGCCCCCGGAAUGUGUCGCCUCUCGGGGCGUCUUAUAGCCGGGGGUGCAAUGCGGCC